GCAUGCUUGACGGAGCGCGAGUAACAACUCGCUGAGAUUGGGUAAAUCUGUUUUUUGAACUGAUUUGAUCCCAAGUACCGUUGAACCUGAUCAGGUUAAUACCUGCGUAGGAAUCAAGUCAUCAAAAAAC
Molecule: non-coding RNA, 130 nt
Filed under: Acinetobacter sp.
Lineage: Bacteria; Pseudomonadati; Pseudomonadota; Gammaproteobacteria; Moraxellales; Moraxellaceae
Also listed under: 2 other names
Description: TPP sequence
Rfam family: TPP riboswitch aptamer (THI element)
About the family: Vitamin B(1) in its active form thiamin pyrophosphate (TPP) is an essential coenzyme that is synthesised by coupling of pyrimidine and thiazole moieties in bacteria.
Source: RNAcentral